RNAcentral lists this ribosomal RNA (556 nucleotides) under Nigrospora sp. XN-3-2. RNAcentral describes it as "eukaryotic LSU rRNA". The stretch from base 187 to 340 matches the Rfam family "5.8S ribosomal RNA". The record is from RNAcentral. Lineage: Eukaryota; Fungi; Ascomycota; Sordariomycetes; Amphisphaeriales; Apiosporaceae.
UCCGUAAGGUGAACCUGCGGAGGGAUCAUUACAGAGUUAUCCAACUCCCAAACCCAUGUGAACUUAUCUCUUUGUUGCCUCGGCGCAAGCUACCCGGGACCUCGCGCCCCGGGCGGCCCGCCGGCGGACAAACCAAAACUCUUGUUAUCUUAGUUGAUUAUCUGAGUGUCUUAUUUAAUAAGUCAAAACUUUCAACAACGGAUCUCUUGGUUCUGGCAUCGAUGAAGAACGCAGCGAAAUGCGAUAAGUAAUGUGAAUUGCAGAAUUCAGUGAAUCAUCGAAUCUUUGAACGCACAUUGCGCCCAUUAGUAUUCUAGUGGGCAUGCCUGUUCGAGCGUCAUUUCAACCCCUAAGCACAGCUUAUUGUUGGGAACCUACGGCUUCGUAGUUCCUCAAAGACAUUGGCGGAGUGGCAGUGGUCCUCUGAGCGUAGUAAUCUUUUAUCUCGCUUCUGUUAGGUGCUGCCCCCCCGGCCGUAAAACCCCCAAUUUUUUCUGGUUGACCUCGGAUCAGGUAGGAAUACCCGCUGAACUUAAGCAUAUCAAUAAGCCGGAGG